AGGAAAUUUGAUAGACCUUUUUGGGGGCUAUGUUUCGGCCGUAGUUUGGGAUAGUUUGUCCUG
RNAcentral lists this transfer RNA (63 nucleotides) under Eurytrema pancreaticum. Its description in RNAcentral is "tRNA-Arg". The record is from RNAcentral. Lineage: Eukaryota; Metazoa; Platyhelminthes; Trematoda; Plagiorchiida; Dicrocoeliidae.